CAGCCGCCGCGGUAAUACCGGCGGCCCGAGUGGCGGCCACUAUUAUUGGGCUUAAAGCGUCCGUAGCCGGGUUGGUUAGUCUCCCGGGAAAUCUGGCCGCUUAACGGUCAGAAUUCCGGGAGAUACUGCCAGCCUAGGGACCGGGAGAGGCCGAGGGUAUUCCCGGAGUAGGGGUGAAAUCCUAUAAUCCCGGGAGGACCACCAGUGGCGAAGGCGCCCGGCUGGCACGCGCCCGACGGUGAGGGACGAAAGCUGGGGGAGCAAAGGGGAUUAGAUACCCCCGUAGUCCCAGCUGUAAACGAUGCGGGCUAGAUGUUGGGCGGGCCUCGAGCCCGCCCAGUGUCGUAGGGAAGCCGUUAAGCCCGCCGCCUGGGGAGUACGGCCGCAAGGCUGAAACUUAAAGGAAUUGGCGGG
Molecule: ribosomal RNA, 414 nt
Filed under: uncultured microorganism
Description: bacterial SSU rRNA
Rfam family: Archaeal small subunit ribosomal RNA
Source: RNAcentral